CGAGCCAAAGAGAAAACAAUGGUCAAGCCGCACUUGCGCCACUACCAGGUGGUCGGCCGCGAGUCGCCCUCGGAGAAGAACCCUGAGCCGACUGUGUACAAGUUUGAGGUGUUCGCCCCAAACUUCGUCGUCGCCAAGAGCCGUUUCUGGCGCAUGAUGAGGGUCAAGAACAAGGUCAAGGCCACGCACGGUGACGUGCUCUCCUGCAAGGUCGUGAAGGAUGCGAAGCUGGUGGCGCGCAACUACCUGGUCGACAUCGCGUACUACAGCCAGCGCUGCGGCUACACGCGCAUGGUCAAGGAGUUCCGCGACGUCUCCAAGACCGGCGCCGUGAGCCAGGCGUACCACGACCUGGCCUCCCGCCACCGCGCCCGCUACCACAACAUCGAGGUGCUGAACGUGAAGAGCAUCCCGGACCACGAGGUGAAGCACCUGAGCAUUGCCCAAUACCACGCUCCAAACCUGUCCUUCCCGCUCCUGCAGCGCCGCAUCAAGGCAGCCCGCAAGGACCGUGCCAUCUUCGUCAAGAAGAACACGAAGCGCGCGGUGGUGGCGUGAGGAAGGAGCUGGUGAAGCAAGAACAGGUGGCAGAGGAGAAAGGGAGUGUACCAGCACAAACAUUCGCGCACGCAUAUGAUUGCAGACACAUGUGUGUGUAUGGGAUCGUAUGCGUAUGUGAUUGUGUGUAUGGAAACGCCCACUCCCUCUGCCCUCUUCCCUUGUCUCCUGGCUGCUAGUAGGGGGUGCAGGUAUCGUGUGUGCGUGUUUGUGUGUCGGUCUCGUUGUCGGCGCAGGCACGUGCUUGCCAAGCACGAUUGUUACGGCUGUCUCGUUCUUCGCGGGUUGCGUGUGUGCGCAACUGCCGAUGCUCUCUCGCCUUUCGUUUUUCUCGCUCCCUCCCCUGGAUCUUGCUGGAUUGCGUCGUUUUGUUGGUUCGCGAUGGUGAUCCAGCGGCGUUGCCCCCCCCCCGUCGACACACAUAUGCACACAUGCUAUUGCUGCCGGGCGGGGGAACAUCGGCACUGGCCACCGGCGACAAGCAGUGAAGGAAGGGGAUGGGGAAAGCGAGAAAAAGAGAGGCGGCGGGCAACGGCAGCUGAAGGAGACGGCGCGCCGCUCCGCUUGGCGCGUGUUUCGUGAAGGUUCUCGGACUUUGGCGUGACUUUAUGGUUCGCGUGCUUCGUUUCUUCGCUUCCUCUUUUCGUGCUUGUUUCCGUCAUUUUACGCGCCAAAAC
Molecule: unclassified non-coding RNA, 1235 nt
Filed under: Leishmania donovani
Lineage: Eukaryota; Euglenozoa; Kinetoplastea; Trypanosomatida; Trypanosomatidae
Description: gene:LdHU3.35.0740(CDS-product:60S_ribosomal_prot ein_L18a_putative)
Source: RNAcentral